CCCUUAGAUGUUCUGGGCGGCCCGCGCACUACAUUGGCACUGGCAACAAGAUCCUAGAUCUGGUAUUUCGGGGUAUUCUACCAACUGGUGUCGUGACUGGGAUUAACCCCUGCAAUUAUUGGUUAUGAACGAGGAAUGCCUUGUAAUCACGGUUUAUCAACCCGUGUUGAAUGCGUCCCUGCCCUUUGUACACACCGCCCGUCGCUCCUACCGAUGAAUCGUCCGGUGAAGUUCAUGGAGUCGCGGCUGCUCCAGCUGUUUUCGAAGUGAAAUGGACCUCAUGAUUUAGAGGAAGGAGAAGUCGUAACA
Molecule: ribosomal RNA, 309 nt
Filed under: uncultured eukaryote
Lineage: Eukaryota
Description: partial 18S ribosomal RNA
Rfam family: Eukaryotic small subunit ribosomal RNA
Source: RNAcentral